UACGAAGGGGGGCUAGCGUUGCUCGGAAUCACUGGGCGUAAAGGGUGCGUAGGCGGGUCUUUUAAGUCAGGGGUGAAAUCCUGGAGUUCAACUCCAGAACUGCCUUUGAUACUGAAGAUCUUGAGUUCGGGAGAGGUGAGUGGAACUGCGAGUGUAGAGGUGAAAUUCGUAGAUAUUCGCAAGAACACCAGUGGCGAAGGCGGCUCACUGGCCCGAUACUGACGCUGAGGCACGAAAGCGUGGGGAGCAAACAGG
Molecule: ribosomal RNA, 255 nt
Filed under: uncultured bacterium
Lineage: Bacteria
Description: partial 16S ribosomal RNA
Rfam family: Bacterial small subunit ribosomal RNA
Source: RNAcentral